Lathyrus oleraceus (garden pea) is the source of this 924-nucleotide long non-coding RNA. RefSeq lists it as uncharacterized. The transcript has 2 exons. The record is from RefSeq and is a predicted model, not a curated record. NCBI's taxonomy places the organism in Eukaryota, Viridiplantae, Streptophyta, Magnoliopsida, Fabales, Fabaceae.
GCAAUUAAUAUGAAACACAGGGCCCAUGCAAAGGCCGAACGGUGCUUCCAACUCAUGAAACAGGGAGGUGUGUAAACAAUAACCAGGUGCAGAUUGGAAAAAUGGGCCCACGGGGAAGGAAGGCCCAAUGCGCAUAUGAGAGGGGGAGAGAGUCAUUCACUCAGAUGAAAUUCAAAUGGGAAAGAAACAAACAUGUGCGUGCUUCAAACCUCAAUUCACCUUCAGACCUAAGAGCCACCGUCUCCGCCAUGCCAGAGGUCGCCUUCGGCGGUGGCGGAGAGCUAAAUCUCUAAAACCAUAUAACAUCAACAGAUUCAUCUUCUUCUCUCCGAUCCAUAUCCAUGAUCAAUUUUCCCUAAUUCAACUUCUAAAGCCUAAACUAAUGAAAAUAAUUGAAUAACCCUAAUCACGAAAAAUAUAAAUUAAAUGCUUAUCACAGGGAAUCAAAGCCCAAGAGGUUGAGGCUUUGAUUCCCCACACCUUUGUUCACAUCCCAAUAACAAGGUUGACACAAGAAGAUGGAAUAGGAACUUACGUUUCCGGAGACGACGAAGUUAACGACGGAAUUCUGGAUGGUGCAAGAAUGACUUAUGAUGGAAAUCAAGGCUUGCAAAAAGUGAGUUAGGUUUGAAGAAAAUUAGUGAAGGAAAGAAAACUCAAGAAAAUGAAAUCAUGGUGAAUCAUGGAAGAAUAAACCAAGAAUUUAGGGUGUGGGAUGUAAAAUGGGGUUAGUUGACUUUGGUCAACUAGUUGACCAAAAAGUCAACAGUUGACCAAAAGUCAACUUAGGUAGAAAAUUUUGUAAUCAUUUUCUAUGUAUGGACAUUUAGAUAUGGUUGUAUGAAGUGAUACUAUGUAUUAAAUGAAAUGGAAUUGAAAUUGAAAGAAAUGAAAUAAGAAUGAAAUGAAUAAUCCACCUUGACA